AGAGACAGUUGGAUGAUUGCGAGAUUUUUCUCGAGGAAAGUCCGAGCACCACACGGCAAGAGUGCAGGGUAACACCCUGUGAAGGCGACUUUAAGGACAGUGCAACAGAAAUAAACCGCAAGAUUUUUCUUGUAAGGAUGGAAAUGUAGUGUAAGAGACUACAACCACUUUGGUGACAAAGUGUUCUAUGUAAACCCCACUCGGUGCAAGAAGGGGAGCAAGUGUUUGCCCGACACCCCCGCCAAUUCGCUUGAGGCUGUUGGUAACAACAGUCCUAGAUAGAUAAUCAUCCCAGACAGAACUCGGCUUACAGACUGUUCUCGCCCC
Molecule: RNase P RNA, 327 nt
Filed under: Clostridia bacterium
Lineage: Bacteria; Bacillati; Bacillota; Clostridia
Description: RNase P RNA component class A
Rfam family: Bacterial RNase P class A
About the family: Ribonuclease P (RNase P) is a ubiquitous endoribonuclease, found in archaea, bacteria and eukarya as well as chloroplasts and mitochondria. Its best characterised activity is the generation of mature 5'-ends of tRNAs by cleaving the 5'-leader elements of precursor-tRNAs. Cellular RNase Ps are ribonucleoproteins.
Source: RNAcentral